This 247-nucleotide ribosomal RNA is filed under the name Rhodella violacea. RNAcentral's name for it is "partial Bacterial small subunit ribosomal RNA". It matches the Rfam family "Bacterial small subunit ribosomal RNA", at positions 1198 to 1443 of the family's 1533-position model. The record is from RNAcentral. Lineage: Eukaryota; Rhodophyta; Rhodellophyceae; Rhodellales; Rhodellaceae.
CCCCUUAUGUCCAGGGCUUCACGCAUGCUACAAUGGCUGGUACAGAGAGUGGCGAGCCUGUGAGGGUGAGCGAAUCUCGGAAAGCCGGUCUCAGUUCGGAUUGGGGUCUGCAACUCGACCCCAUGAAGUCGGAGUCGCUAGUAAUCGCAGAUCAGCAACGCUGCGGUGAAUACGUUCCCGGGGCUUGUACACACCGCCCGUCACGUCAUGAAAGUUGGUAACACCCGAAGCCAGUGGCCUAAACUUG